AACCCGACUCCACGAAGUUGGAUUCGCUAGUAAUCGCGCAUCAGCCAUGGCGCGGUGAGUACGUUCCCGGGCCUUGUACACACCGCCCGUCAAGCCAUGGGAGCCGGGGGCGCCUGAAGUCCGGGACCGCGAGGACCGGCCUAGGGCGAAACUGGUAACUGGGGCUAAGUCGUAACAAGGUAGC
Molecule: ribosomal RNA, 184 nt
Filed under: uncultured bacterium
Lineage: Bacteria
Description: partial 16S ribosomal RNA
Rfam family: Bacterial small subunit ribosomal RNA
Source: RNAcentral